This 75-nucleotide transfer RNA is filed under the name Acidobacteria bacterium OLB17. RNAcentral describes it as "tRNA-Glu". It matches the Rfam family "tRNA". Rfam says of the family: Transfer RNA (tRNA) molecules are approximately 80 nucleotides in length. Their secondary structure includes four short double-helical elements and three loops (D, anti-codon, and T loops). The record is from RNAcentral. Lineage: Bacteria; Pseudomonadati; Acidobacteriota. RNAcentral also lists the same sequence under 9 other names.
GUCCGGUUCGUCUAGGGGUUAGGACACCGCCCUUUCACGGCGGCAACACGGGUUCAAAUCCCGUACCGGAUACCA